Molecule: ribosomal RNA, 1354 nt
Filed under: uncultured bacterium
Lineage: Bacteria
Description: bacterial SSU rRNA
Rfam family: Bacterial small subunit ribosomal RNA
Source: RNAcentral
GGAUGAACGCUAGCGACAGGCUUAACACAUGCAAGUCGAGGGGCAGCGGGGGCGAAGCUUGCUUCGCCUGCCGGCGACCGGCGCACGGGUGAGUAACACGUAUGCGACCUGCCCCCCGCAGGGGGAUAACCGGGAGAAAUCCCGACUAAUACCGCGUAACGCCGCUGGGCUGCAUGGCCCGGCGGCCAAAGGAAGCGAUUCCGGCGGGGGAUGGGCAUGCGGCGCAUUAGCUAGUCGGCGGGGUAACGGCCCACCGAGGCGACGAUGCGUAGGGGUUCUGAGAGGAAGGUCCCCCACACUGGUACUGAGACACGGACCAGACUCCUACGGGAGGCAGCAGUGAGGAAUAUUGGUCAAUGGGCGGGAGCCUGAACCAGCCAAGUCGCGUGAGGGAAGACGGUCCUACGGAUUGUAAACCUCUUUUGCCGGGGAGCAACGGGGUCCUUGCGAGGGCCCGAUGAGAGUACCCGGAGAAAAAGCAUCGGCUAACUCCGUGCCAGCAGCCGCGGUAAUACGGAGGAUGCGAGCGUUAUCCGGAUUUAUUGGGUUUAAAGGGUGCGUAGGCGGGCUGUUAAGUCAGCGGUCAAAUGUCGGGGCUCAACCCCGGCCUGCCGUUGAAACUGGCGGCCUCGAGUGGGCGAGAAGUAUGCGGAAUGCGUGGUGUAGCGGUGAAAUGCAUAGAUAUCACGCAGAACUCCGAUUGCGAAGGCAGCAUACCGGCGCCCGACUGACGCUGAGGCACGAAAGCGUGGGUAUCGAACAGGAUUAGAUACCCUGGUAGUCCACGCAGUAAACGAUGAAUGCUAGCUGUCCGGUUCUACGGGACUGGGUGGCACAGCGAAAGCGUUAAGCAUUCCACCUGGGGAGUACGCCGGCAACGGUGAAACUCAAAGGAAUUGACGGGGGCCCGCACAAGCGGAGGAACAUGUGGUUUAAUUCGAUGAUACGCGAGGAACCUUACCCGGGCUCAAACGCCAAAGGACAGCCGUUGAAAGGCGGCCUCCCUCCGGGGUCUUUGGCGAGGUGCUGCAUGGUUGUCGUCAGCUCGUGCCGUGAGGUGUCGGCUUAAGUGCCAUAACGAGCGCAACCCCCAUCGACAGUUGCUAACGGGUAGAGCCGAGGACUCUGUCGAGACUGCCGGCGCAAGCUGCGAGGAAGGCGGGGAUGACGUCAAAUCAGCACGGCCCUUACGUCCGGGGCGACACACGUGUUACAAUGGCCGGUACAGCGGGAUGCCAGGGCGCGAGCCCGAGCGGAACCCGAAAACCGGUCUCAGUUCGGAUUGGAGUCUGCAACCCGACUCCAUGAAGCUGGAUUCGCUAGUAAUCGCGCAUCAGCCACGGCGCGGUGAAUA